Molecule: ribosomal RNA, 791 nt
Filed under: uncultured Pelagibacteraceae bacterium
Lineage: Bacteria; Pseudomonadati; Pseudomonadota; Alphaproteobacteria; Candidatus Pelagibacterales; Candidatus Pelagibacteraceae
Description: bacterial SSU rRNA
Rfam family: Bacterial small subunit ribosomal RNA
Source: RNAcentral
ACGCCUUAUACAUGCAAGUCGAACGAAGUAGCAAUACUUAGUGGCAGACGGGUGAGUAACAUGUAGGUAUCUUCCCUUUGGUGAGGAAUAACACGAGGAAACUUGUGCUAAUACCUCAUAAGUCUUCACGGAGAAAGCUUUAUGCGCCGAAGGAUGAGCCUGCACUUGAUUAGUUUGUUGGUGGGGUAAUGGCCUACCAAGACUUUGAUCUAUAGCUGAUCUGAGAGGAUGAUCAGCCACAUUGGGACUGAGACACGGCCCAAACUCCUACGGGAGGCAGCAGUAGGGAAUAUUGCACAAUGGAGGAAACUCUGAUGCAGCGAUGCCGCGUGAGUGAAGAAGGCCUUUGGGUUGUAAAGCUCUUUCGUCGGGGAAGAAAAUGACUGUACCCGAAUAAGAAGGUCCGGCUAACUUCGUGCCAGCAGCCGCGGUAAUACGAAGGGACCUAGCGUAGUUCGGAAUUACUGGGCUUAAAGAGUUCGUAGGUGGUUAAAAAAGUUGGUGGUGAAAUCCCAGAGCUUAACUCUGGAACUGCCAUCAAAACUUUUUAGCUAGAGUAUGAUAGAGGAAAGCAGAAUUUCUAGUGUAGAGGUGAAAUUCGUAGAUAUUAGAAAGAAUACCAAUUGCGAAGGCAGCUUUCUGGAUCAUUACUGACGCUGAGGAACGAAAGCAUGGGUAGCGAAGAGGAUUAGAUACCCUCGUAGUCCAUGCCGUAAACGAUGUGUGUUAGACGUUGGAAAUUUAUUUUCAGUGUCGCAGCGAAAGCAUUAAACACACCGCCUGGGGAGUAC